This 19-nucleotide non-coding RNA is filed under the name Arabidopsis thaliana (thale cress). Lineage: Eukaryota; Viridiplantae; Streptophyta; Magnoliopsida; Brassicales; Brassicaceae. The record is from RNAcentral.
GGGUGUUUGGUCUAGUGGU